This 373-nucleotide ribosomal RNA is filed under the name uncultured bacterium. RNAcentral's name for it is "bacterial SSU rRNA". It matches the Rfam family "Bacterial small subunit ribosomal RNA", at positions 527 to 898 of the family's 1533-position model. The record is from RNAcentral.
GUAGGAGGCGAGCGUUGUCCGGAUUUACUGGGCGUAAAGGGCGUGUAGGCGGUAGCGCAAGUCGGGUGUGAAAGCCCCUGGCUUAACCAGGGAGGGUCAUCCGAAACUGCGCUGCUUGAGGGCAGCAGAGGAAAGUGGAAUUCCCGGUGUAGUGGUGAAAUGCGUAGAUAUCGGGAGGAACACCAGUGGCGAAGGCGGCUUUCUGGGCUGCACCUGACGCUGAGGCGCGAAAGCGUGGGGAGCGAACUGAAUUAGAUACUCAGGUAGUCCACGCUGUAAACGAUGGACACUAGGUGUGGGGGGUAUCGACCCCCUCCGUGCCGAAGCUAACGCAUUAAGUGUCCCGCCUGGGGAGUACGGCCGCAAGGCUAAA